Molecule: long non-coding RNA, 2648 nt
Organism: Bubalus bubalis (water buffalo)
Lineage: Eukaryota; Metazoa; Chordata; Mammalia; Artiodactyla; Bovidae
Exons: 2
Source: RefSeq, a predicted model, not a curated record
CGCCACGCCCUCCAGGGAGCCUUAUUCCCGCCCCUCCAGGGAGCUUUAUCCCCGCCCCCAGGAGCGCGGAGUCCCGCCCCCCGGGGGAGCCGAGCACCCCUGGGAGAGCCCUGCCUCGCCACGCCCCGUCAGAGAGCCAAGCCCCGCCCUCCGGGGGGAGGGGGAAACCAAGGCACCACCACCACCACCACCCCCCCCCGGGAUUCGAGGCCCCGCCCCGCCCGACAGCUAAGCCACGCCUCUAGUACAUUGCCAAAGUACCUGUCUGGGGCUUGGUCCCGCCCACCAGAGGGGACCCGAAAAGUCUUGGGCUGGCGUAGCCGAAAAGCCCCCCGCCUCGACCGCCCUUCAAGGUUCAUUAGGUCCCUCUCCUCGCAGCCCCACCGGUCCCAGGCGGCCCUGGCCUCCGCUCACCUGAGGACUGCGGGCCUCCCGUCGCGCGCCCGUACAGAGCACGGGAAAGGAAUGUCACCGACAAACGCACGACGGCUGCCCCUUCCCGACUGAGCGCACACGACAGAGAGAAGAACGCAAUUACGAGAUUAUGGAAGCAGACCUCUGCCUGGGUGAGCCCAGCUCCUUUCUGGUCCAGACUCACGUCAACACCCUGAAGUGCUGGAGCAACUGCCCAGAGCCCAUAUGGAAGCUAAGAAUCCACAGACCACCCCAGUGUUUCUGGUCAGUGUUGCUCUUUCUACUCAGAUUGAAAAAUAAUGACUCUUCGAGUUCCCUGGGCCCAGCCUCCACAAGGUCCUGGCUCUUCACUACUUCCUUAAGGAGGUCUCCAAGCGGAAAAGACAGCUGCCUACCCCAGUCCACAGAAUCCCAUAAACAGGUAAGUGCAUCUUUUGACAAAAGUAACAAUGCUGGACUUCAAACCUUGACUAUCUCAGCUCCGGGCAAUUGAAAAACAACUUGUGACUGCCUUCCCUGUAUCUGGGUGUUUUUUCAAACUGUCGUCCAGCCUGUUAUCAGAACUCGCCUCCUGCAAGUGGUAACACAGAAACAAAAGAAGAGUCAUGCUUCACUCACCUAUUUAAUAUUAGUAUUUAAUGACCCCAUUGACUCCAUAUCACAUGACACAGAGUACUUCACAAUCCAGGCCUAACCUCCAGGUCUGGCAGCAUCUCCUGUCACCAAACAUCUCUCAAUGGGAGCCACCCAGUUCCUUAGUGGGAACGCACCAUGCCUUGUCACAUCCCUGCCCCUUGUUCAAGCUGUCUCCUCUGUCAGGAAAACCCUUUUCCCAGUCUGUGCUGGUAAACAGUCACCCCUUCCACCUCGUCCUCAAAUGGUACCCCUUCCCGGAAUGUCCCUUUAUUACUGCACCAUCCUUUGUUUUAUGACAAACACGUGCUUCCUUUGGUAGCGGCCUCCCCAGCUGUAUCCGCUGUUACAUGACAGACAUGCUAGCAUACAUCACGCAAUAGGCAAAUGUGUACUGACUACAUGUUGGCUGAGUGAAGAACAACAAACUGGCUAGAUGGCUACAGAGGGAGGAAUGUGAACCAAACAGAUUUAAAGAAGCCUUGUGGAUCAUUGCCAUCCCCAUCCAAGCUAGGAAGUCUCUCAGCAAAUACAAAUGCGUCAACUCAUGUGAUAAGUAUUUACAGAAUGCCUGACUAACCUACAUGCUAUGUUCUACAUGGAUCCAUAGAUUAUAAAGCAUGCACUUCGCUGCUGUAUAUUUCAAUUUGUUUUUUUUUUCUAAUCUGUCUACUCACUACUAGGUCCUAUUAAUAAAAUAUUCUUCUAGAAAAGUUUUAGGGUAUAUUAAAAUGUACAAAAUAGUUUGGUUAAAUUUCCAUCUUUUGAAGAAUGGUUAACCAUGUUCAUAAUUUGAAUUAUGUAUAAUUCAGUUAAAAGAUAUACCUAAAUCUACAUUUUUGACAGCAGGAACAAUAAAAGACUGUGUACAAUAACCCACAAAGAUGUUAAAGGUUUGACUUUGUGCUGACCAUUAGAACAGAAAGAAAUGGAUGACCAUGAGAACUGUGGUAAUCCAUAAUGGGGGAGAAGAACCAGAGGGGAAGACUUAGGCUAUCGCAGAAAACAAUUACACAUUGAACCCUGAAAGCUUUGUGUCCUUGAAGCUUUUACAGCCCGUUAUGUAGAACUGGAUCCUUUACAAAAAAACGCCAAAGAGGAUACAUUCAUGCUAAAAUGAGGGAAGAUUAGAUAGAAGAGAUCUUUUUAAACGGAAAAUUUUUUAAAUUGUAUACAAUUUUAAAGGUUACUUUUUCUUGCAGUUAUUACAAAACAUUGGCUAUAUUCCCUGUGUAAUACAGUACACCUUUGAGCCUAUCUCACACCCAAAAGUUUGUGCCUCUCCCACUCCUGUGUUGCCACCUCCCAUGGUAACCACCAGUUCUCUGUAUCUGUGAGUCAUCUUUUUGUUAUAUUCACUAGUUUGUUGUAGUUUUAUUUUUUUUCCAAGAAAGCAAAGUGAGGAUUUAUUAAGUGAAAGUAUGCUCACAGUGGGAGAGCAGGCAGACUAAGGUGAGUAGCUGCCUCACUUGUAUUUUUUAGAUUCCACAUAUAAGCUUGUGCCUCCCACUCCCCACCCGUCUUGUGCCCCUCCCUCACUUUCUCCACUGGUAACCACUAGUGUUUGUUCCCCAUGUUUGCAAAGUCUGCUUCUUUUUUGU